This 455-nucleotide ribosomal RNA is filed under the name Staphylococcus epidermidis. RNAcentral describes it as "bacterial SSU rRNA". It matches the Rfam family "Bacterial small subunit ribosomal RNA", at positions 32 to 474 of the family's 1533-position model. The record is from RNAcentral. Lineage: Bacteria; Bacillati; Bacillota; Bacilli; Caryophanales; Staphylococcaceae.
AACGCUGGCGGCGUGCCUAAUACAUGCAAGUCGAGCGAACAGACGAGGAGCUUGCUCCUCUGACGUUAGCGGCGGACGGGUGAGUAACACGUGGAUAACCUACCUAUAAGACUGGGAUAACUUCGGGAAACCGGAGCUAAUACCGGAUAAUAUAUUGAACCGCAUGGUUCAAUAGUGAAAGACGGUUUUGCUGUCACUUAUAGAUGGAUCCGCGCCGCAUUAGCUAGUUGGUAAGGUAACGGCUUACCAAGGCAACGAUGCGUAGCCGACCUGAGAGGGUGAUCGGCCACACUGGAACUGAGACACGGUCCAGACUCCUACGGGAGGCAGCAGUAGGGAAUCUUCCGCAAUGGGCGAAAGCCUGACGGAGCAACGCCGCGUGAGUGAUGAAGGUCUUCGGAUCGUAAAACUCUGUUAUUAGGGAAGAACAAAUGUGUAAGUAACUAUGCACGUCU